Molecule: ribosomal RNA, 253 nt
Filed under: uncultured bacterium
Lineage: Bacteria
Description: partial 16S ribosomal RNA
Rfam family: Bacterial small subunit ribosomal RNA
Source: RNAcentral
UACGGAGGGGGCUAGCGUUGUUCGGAAUCACUGGGCUUAAAGGGCGCGUAGGCGGGCUGCCGCGUCCGGGGUGAAAUCCUCCGGCUCAACCGGGGAGGGUCAUUCGAUACUGAUCGACUCGAAGGCAGGAGAGGGAAGUGGAAUUCCCGGUGUAGUGGUGAAAUGCGUAGAUAUCGGGAGGAACACCAGUGGCGAAGGCGACUUCCUGGCCUGUUCUUGACGCUGAGGCGCGAAAGCUAGGGGAGCAAACGGG